This 425-nucleotide ribosomal RNA is filed under the name uncultured bacterium. Its description in RNAcentral is "partial 16S ribosomal RNA". It matches the Rfam family "Bacterial small subunit ribosomal RNA", at positions 354 to 796 of the family's 1533-position model. The record is from RNAcentral.
GUGGGGAAUCUUGCGCAAUGGGCGAAAGCCUGACGCAGCCAUGCCGCGUGAAUGAUGAAGGUCUUAGGAUUGUAAAAUUCUUUCACCGGGGACGAUAAUGACGGUACCCGGAGAAGAAGCUCCGGCUAACUUCGUGCCAGCAGCCGCGGUAAUACGAAGGGGGCUAGCGUUGCUCGGAAUUACUGGGCGUAAAGGGCGCGUAGGCGGACAGCUUAGUCAGAGGUGAAGGCCCAGGGCUCAACCUUGGAAUUGCCUUUGAUACUGGCUGUCUUGAGUUUGGGAGAGGUGAGUGGAACUCCGAGUGUAGAGGUGAAAUUCGUAGAUAUUCGGAAGAACACCAGUGGCGAAGGCGACUCACUGGCCCAAUACUGACGCUGAGGCGCGAAAGCGUGGGGAGCAAACAGGAUUAGAUACCCGUGUAGUCC